This 403-nucleotide ribosomal RNA is filed under the name uncultured Bifidobacterium sp. RNAcentral's name for it is "bacterial SSU rRNA". It matches the Rfam family "Bacterial small subunit ribosomal RNA", at positions 181 to 595 of the family's 1533-position model. Lineage: Bacteria; Bacillati; Actinomycetota; Actinomycetes; Bifidobacteriales; Bifidobacteriaceae. The record is from RNAcentral.
ACAUGACGCAUGUCGUGUCGGGAAAGAUUCAUCGGUAUGGGAUGGGGUCGCGUCCUAUCAGCUUGAUGGCGGGGUAACGGCCCACCAUGGCUUCGACGGGUAGCCGGCCUGAGAGGGCGACCGGCCACAUUGGGACUGAGAUACGGCCCAGACUCCUACGGGAGGCAGCAGUGGGGAAUAUUGCACAAUGGGCGCAAGCCUGAUGCAGCGACGCCGCGUGCGGGAUGACGGCCUUCGGGUUGUAAACCGCUUUUGACUGGGAGCAAGCCCUUCGGGGUGAGUGUACCUUUCGAAUAAGCACCGGCUAACUACGUGCCAGCAGCCGCGGUAAUACGUAGGGUGCAAGCGUUAUCCGGAAUUAUUGGGCGUAAAGGGCUCGUAGGCGGUUCGUCGCGUCCGGUGU